This 482-nucleotide ribosomal RNA is filed under the name uncultured Rhodoferax sp. RNAcentral describes it as "bacterial SSU rRNA". It matches the Rfam family "Bacterial small subunit ribosomal RNA", at positions 897 to 1382 of the family's 1533-position model. Lineage: Bacteria; Pseudomonadati; Pseudomonadota; Betaproteobacteria; Burkholderiales; Comamonadaceae. The record is from RNAcentral.
AAACUUAAAGGAAGUUGACGGGGCCGCACAAGCGGUGGAUGAUGUGGUUAAUUCGAUGCAACGCGAAAACCUUACCCACCUUUGACAUGUACGGAAGCCUUUAGAGAUAGAGGCGUGCUCGAAAGAGAGCCGUAACACAGGUGCUGCAUGGCUGUCGUCAGCUCGUGUCGUGAGAUGUUGGGUUAAGUCCCGCAACGAGCGCAACCCUUGUCAUUAGUUGCUACAUUCAGUUGGGCACUCUAAUGAGACUGCCGGUGACAAGCCGGAGGAAGGUGGGGAUGACGUCAAGUCCUCAUGGCCCUUAUAGGUGGGGCUACACACGUCAUACAAUGGCUGGUACAAAGGGUUGCCAACCCGCGAGGGGGAGCUAAUCCCAUAAAGCCAGUCGUAGUCCGGAUCGUAGUCUGCAACUCGACUACGUGAAGUCGGAAUCGCUAGUAAUCGUGGAUCAGAAUGUCACGGUGAAUACGUUCCCGGGUCUU